Symphalangus syndactylus (siamang) is the source of this 593-nucleotide long non-coding RNA. RefSeq lists it as uncharacterized. Lineage: Eukaryota; Metazoa; Chordata; Mammalia; Primates; Hylobatidae. The record is from RefSeq and is a predicted model, not a curated record.
UUUACCGCUGGGCUCUUUUCUUCUAGCGCUCUUUGGAAGAGGCGUUCCUCUGUGACCAAUUGUCACAAAGAAUCUACAAUAGAUCUUCUCCAGCAGCUCUGGAGGUCAGACCCAGCUGUGGAGAGAGUCAUUCCUAGAAAACUGGAAGGCACUUUGGGAGACUACUACUUUCUGUGGAUGAAUGGGAAAUUCAAGACAUGAGAAAAUGGAUGGGCAGUAUGGAAAUAACCACUGUUUUGCCAGGACGAUUAAAUAUCAUUGAUGCUUCUGGUCUACAAUUAGUCACAGAAGAGAUAAAAAAAUGAUGAGUAUUCAAGAAGGAAAGUGUUUGCUUUAACCUAUGAAGAAAAUGAGCUUCAGAGUGGUGAUUAACCCCAGAAUUGUGUGGAAUGGAUACAGAAACAAGACCACAGGAGCAUCGAGAACUGAGCAGAACUGAAGGUGACAUGAAAAUCAGCUGCAAGAUUCACCUCAGGGUGAGAAUGGACUGCAGGUGGCUGCAGGAAUCCCGGGACAUUCUAGGCACUGCCAUAUUUUCUUAGGGGCCAGUAAGGAUGGCUAUCAUCAGAUGUACCUGAUGAUACAAACAUGGA